AAGAGCCCACCAAGGCGACGAUCGGUAGCUGGUCUGAGAGGAUGAUCAGCCACACUGGAACUGAGACACGGUCCAGACUCCUACGGGAGGCAGCAGUGGGGAAUAUUGGACAAUGGGCGCAAGCCUGAUCCAGCAAUGCCGCGUGGGUGAAGAAGGCCUUCGGGUUGUAAAGCCCUUUUGUACGGGAAGAAAUCCUGUCGGUUAAUACCCGGCGGGGAUGACGGUACCGUAAGAAUAAGCACCGGCUAACUUCGUGCCAGCAGCCGCGGUAAUACGAAGGGUGCAAGCGUUAAUCGGAAUUACUGGGCGUAAAGCGUGCGUAGGCGGUUCGUUAAGUCUGUCGUGAAAGCCCUGGGCUCAACCUGGGAAUGGCGAUGGAUACUGGCGAGCUAGAGUGUGAUAGAGGAUGGCGGAAUUCCCGGUGUAGCGGUGAAAUGCGUAGAGAUCGGGAGGAACAUCCGUGGCGAAGGCGGCCAUCUGGAUCAACACUGACGCUGAGGCACGAAAGCGUGUGGAGCAAACAGGAUUAGAUACCCUGGUAGUCCACGCCCUAAACGAUGCGAACUGGAUGUUGGGCUCAACUCGGAGCUCAGUGUCGAAGCUAACGCGUUAAGUUCGCCGCCUGGGGAGUACGGUCGCAAGACUGAAACUCAAAGGAAUUGACGGGGGCCCGCACAAGCGGUGGAGUAUGUGGUUUAAUUCGAUGCAACGCGCAGAACCUUACCUGGGCCCUGACAUGUCCGGAAUCCUGCAGAGAUGCGGGAGUGCCUUCGGGAUCGGAACACAGGUGCUGCAUGGCUGUC
Molecule: ribosomal RNA, 803 nt
Filed under: uncultured bacterium
Lineage: Bacteria
Description: bacterial SSU rRNA
Rfam family: Bacterial small subunit ribosomal RNA
Source: RNAcentral